This 1629-nucleotide long non-coding RNA is filed under the name Struthio camelus australis. RNAcentral's name for it is "lncRNA (ENSSCUG00000000975.1)". The record is from RNAcentral. Lineage: Eukaryota; Metazoa; Chordata; Aves; Struthioniformes; Struthionidae.
GCCGAGGAAGGAAAACGAAGGUGUCGGGAGUGGGGAAAACAAUAGGUUUGCGGUGAUCCCUUAUGCGCUCUCCCGGGAGGGGAGUAUCAGCACGUCAGAAAAUUUAUUUGUUUAUUUAUUUUGUAAUGAGCUUUUGGGGAAAAAAUGCUAUCUUCUUUCAUUCCUUCUGGAAUGAUCAUAAAGCUAAAAAAAAAAAUAGUGAUGUGCGUUUAAGGAAAAAAGCGUUUGAUUAACAUUUAACCAAUCCACUUAUAAAAACAACGAUUCACGAACCAGUUCAACUAAAUAUUUUCAAACAGUAGUUGAAGUCUAUACCUCUACUGCACGCAGGAAGAAUAUUUAAAUAUCUGAGCAUUAUUUAAAACAAUUCCCUUUUUUUCUUUUUUUCUCUUUUUUUUUUUUUUUUUUGCCAGUGCUGUUCAAGAGGCCUUGGAAUGUACUGUUCAGUCCCGCAUGGACAGCCAAAGUCUAGGGGCUUUCAGAGUAUUUCUGUUGGACAAGAGAUUGAUGAUAGAAUUCAAUAUUUCUUUGAUGUAAUAUUUACAGAAAAUGAACAAAGCCCAAUUUCCUCAAACAGGACAGGACUCCAACAGAACAGGGCUUUGUUUGAUUUCUCUUUUCAAAUUCUAUUUCUUUCCAGGUAGCAUUCUGUUUGAAGAGCUCUUCUUUUACUUCCUUUCCGAGAGUCUGAAAAGUCCUUUGAAAAGUACAUGUGCUAUGAAGGAAUCUUCUACAAACAGUGAUACAAGAAAAAGAGUGAUCCUUCUCCAGUCAAUACCGGUCAACACAAGCAGCUGUUCUACGUCUAACACGGCUUCACUCCAUCACUCUCCAGCUGCCACAUGAACGGCAACUUUGAGGCACCUUGUCAGUGAUGGUCUAAUGCCAAUAUCAGCACCUUUACUUAACAGUGCAAAACAGAACAAGAUUCACAGAAAACUAGGCAGUUAAAAUGAUCUACUCACUUUGGGACGGCAUGCAGAAGCAGUUAGACUGAGAUUUAGGGAGGGAUUCAUGUAAACACUGAAGUCAUCUCAACGCUACAGUCCUAAGCCAAAUUGAUUCUCUGCAUUCCCUCAGUGUGUGUCCAGGAAAGAGAUAGACACCAUCAGACGGUGAUAACCCCAUCCUAAAAGUGUCGGAGGUAGCAUGAUGAAUGGUUACCUAAGGUACCUAUCUCUUUUCACUGACUAUAGAAGAAGCACAGACUAGAUAUUUCAUAGGCUAAAAUUAGUUGAUAUUAAGGCUACCCAGCUGCUCCAGCCUCAGACAGCAUUUAUUUUCCUUUUACAUCAUGGGAGGUGCAGAUAGCAGGAUGCAGAGUGGGAAAAGGAUGAACAGAGCUCAGUGAAUGGGUCGUUAUUCAAUAUUUCUUUUAAGACUCAUCUUUCAGUGUGUGCCCUAUCCAUUAUUUACUGCACACCAUCUGAAUGCUACACUGAAUAGAGAAUUAGUCAUUUUCUCAUGGGCUUUUCCAUGGCGCUCGCAUUGUGGUACUCUCUUUCUUUGCAGAUACUAAUGAAUAUAUAUCUUCCCAACACCCUGGUGGUGUUAUUGUCCUCCUCUUACAUAUUGUGAGUGUAGACACUGAAAUGAAAUAAAAAUUGUCCGCUAAUUUUGUUUCCCUCA